RNAcentral lists this long non-coding RNA (1434 nucleotides) under Cyanistes caeruleus (blue tit). RNAcentral's name for it is "lncRNA (ENSCCEG00000005152.1)". Lineage: Eukaryota; Metazoa; Chordata; Aves; Passeriformes; Paridae. The record is from RNAcentral.
CCCCAUUCCCACCAAUUCCCUCCGUGGUUUUUCCCGGGAUCAAAUCCAAAACUGCUGGAAAAUCCCAAAUCCCCCCCAGAAUUCCUCAAUCCCGGCUACCAUCCCCCAUUCCUGGGAUGGGACCCCGGGAGAAUCCCGAGGGAUCCCGGAUUUCCCAGAGAUUCCCGAGGAUUUCCCCUUUCCCGGGUUGGCUUUUCUGGGCCCCCGGGAGCCUCCGGAAUGUGGAAUUCCACAUCCGGCCGCCGCAGGAUCCCGGGUUAAUGAUUAAACCUCCCGGGAGAGCCGGGAAUGUGCGGCCGGAUCGGGAAAAGGGAUCCCGGGAAUCCUGGGAGCCGCUUCCCGAGGCUCCAGGGGCUGCGGGAGAGCUGGGAUUUGGGAAAGGGCCGCAGGGCCAGGAGCCAGGGAAUGGCUUCCCAAUGGGAAAGGGGAGCUGGGAGCUCGGGAAGGAAUUCCCAGAGAAUCCCUGGGAUCACUUUCCCAGUGGCCAUUUGGAUGAAAUUCCGAUGGAAUUCCAGCCUGGAAUCCCACCCUGUCCACUUCUCCUGGCUCUUCUGCCUUGAGUCUGCACCAGGGAUGGUUUGGACAAAAAUCCAACGGAAUUCCAGCCCAGGAAUUCCCAAACUUGAACCACUCUGGAACCCAAACUUCCCCAGAUUCUCCUCAUUUCCCAAUUUAUGUUUGGACAAAAUUCCAACAGAAUUCCAGACAGGAAUUCCCAAACUUUUAAACCUGAGCUGCCCCAGAUUCUCCUCAUUUCCCAAUCAAUAUUUGGACAAAAUUCCAAUGGAAUUCCAACCUGGAAUCCCACCCUUCUCCUGGCUCUUCUACCUUGCACCAAGAGGACGGUUUGGACAAAAUUCCAGUGAAAUUCCAGCCAGGAAUUUCCAAAAUUUUAAACCAGAGCCACCCCAGAUUCUCCACACGGCAAGGCUGGAGCGCCCCUGGCCGGCCGGGCCAGGAUUGGAUCUCCACGAAUCCCACCCGAACCGUUCCCCAUUUCCCAUUCCCCAUUCCCCAUUUCCAUUAUUCCCCAUUUCCCAUCAUUUCCCAUCAUUUCCCGUCAUUCCCGUUUUCCUAAGAGUUGAUCCGCUCCAUCCUGCAGAGCGGCCGGAUCGGGCCGGGAUUGGAUCUCCACGAAUCCCACCCGAACCAUUUCCCAUUUCCCAUUCCCCAUUCCCCAUUCCCAUUCCCCAUUCCCCAUUCCCAUUCCCAUUCCCCAUUCCCCAUUCCCAUUCCCAUCAUUUCCCGUCAUUUCCCGUCAUUCCCGUUUUCCCAGGAGGUGAUCCGCUCCAUCCUGCAGAGCAGCCCGAUUGGGCCGGGAUUGGAUCUCCAUGAAUCCCACCCGAACCAUUUCCCAUUUCCCAUUCCCCAUUCCCAUUCCCCAUUCCCAUUCCCCAUUCCCCAUUCCCCAUUCCCAUUCCCAUUCCCCAUUCC